This is a long non-coding RNA of Mercenaria mercenaria, 4802 nucleotides long. RefSeq lists it as uncharacterized. Lineage: Eukaryota; Metazoa; Mollusca; Bivalvia; Venerida; Veneridae. The transcript is spliced from 2 exons. The record is from RefSeq and is a predicted model, not a curated record.
UUUUACUUAUUUCUUGCUUGCUUUCCAAGAGAAUCUUCAAUAAUCGGCGUCUUAAUGGAAAAGGUAGAAGGAAACUAUUCGUUGAGGCUUUAAAUCUAAGUUUAUCGCGGGAUUUUUAACGACAUUCACCGGUUUCGUAAAGCGGUCGUUUGUUUUAGCGCAAUGCGGAAGUGUCGUGUAGAUGCAGUUUUUUGGCUAAAAAGUUGACGAAUUCAUCGUCUCACUACGUCUGUCAUUUGUUUUACGUUUGCCAUCAGUUUUAGGUAGUAACUGUUAGCUGUCGAGAGUACCGGAACAGACUGUGAAGUAUUUCUAUAGAUCUAAAUAUGGUUCGUAAAAAAGGACAGUUUGUCUGGCAUUCGGAAUUCCUACACUAGUGAUCCAUGAGUGGACUUUAUCCAGUUUCCAGAAUGGCAGGAAGGAAGGACUUAUUGAAUUGGACUACUUGUCAAGUCAGCUUACAAAAGUCAAAAAUUUAAAAGCAGCCACUCGGCGACAGUAAGCUUGUCUACAUUUUCCGUAAAAUUUCCAAAAUGAAUACUGGAAAAAAACAACAUGGAAAUACAUACGACAUCAACACAAAAUAGCACAGCACCAGAAUUAAUGCGGAAGUUGUCAUGAGUGGUGUGGCAUUGUCCCUGUUCAUUUAUGGUUUACAGAUUCCAAAAGUGAACCAGAUAUGAGUAGAGUACAGUUUGAGAAAUGUCUUGGUCGAACAGAUACUUAGGAAAUAAUAAAAAGCAGAACAGACCACAUUUCUCCUUAUAACUGGUAAAGUUCCAAGUAAGGGCGAGUACAAUAAUGCAGCCCCAGUGAGAGUUUGUGAUGAGGUGUCAACUGUAAAUGUGUGGUCGUUAAAUGAUGUGCAGUCAGAUUGACAAGUAUUUGAAGUAACAUUAAUUUAUAAAUUAUCAAUUCUGAGAGAAAUUUUUGCUGAGUUUUGUGCAGGAUACUCUUAAAAAAUACGUGAACCAGAAUUUUAUAUUAUAAGUACAAUGCCAGAUGUACUCCAGACUUCACACAUAUGUUGAUGUUUAUACAUAUGUGGUGAUUAAUUUGUCAAGUGAAGAAAUUUUAUGAAUAAUGUUACUGGGUGACAGAACAGAAGUACAAAGUCAAUUACAGAGGUCGACAACACUGAGUUUAGGAUACAGAAAAAAUCCGGUGAUUCUGACGAAACAACAUACAUAGAAAGAUUAUACUAGUAAAAUGAAAACUUUUAGUGUAUGGAAAAGUUUGGAAACAGGUUUACCAUUGACAGAAGAGACAGUAUUUACAGACUGGUCUACACUUAUUUUGAUUUGACUUUUAAGCGGUGAUUCCUCCAGUAAACAGCUAGUGAUCUGAGAGAAUUGUGUUCAUUAUAUCAUACAGGUUUAGUUUGAGUGAUUUCAAUGAAGUACAAAUGAACAAAAAAGAAUCACUAUCAGCCAAGAUGAUGUGCUAUUGUAAAAGAUAGAAAGAAAAUUCACAAGUCACAUUAACUUGGUAAAAGGGAUUUUAACAGAAUUAAACUAGUUUGUGAAGGAUUCUGCAUGCUGUAUCAAAUAGCUAUAAUGUAUUUUGUAGUUCUUUGGGUGUAUCUUCUAUCUAUCUCUUUUCAAACUAAAUUUUAUUUCUUAAAUCUAUUGAAAUUGCCAUCAAAAUAAAAAUUUCUUUUAAAAACAAUAUAUUUAACAAUUAAAAGGUAUAUUCAACAAGCCAGCACUUUGUUACUAAUCUUAGUCAGUGGAAUUUAUUUUUAGACUUGUCCUUUUUUUUGAUUCAGUUUCUAGAUCCCCAUUUAUUAGUUACUGUACACAUUUUGGGAUUCCAGCAAUUUUCCACAUCCUCAUUACAAGGUAGAAUUGAUUUUUCAUUGGUCCAGUAGUUAACGAGUUUUAGCAUAAAGUAAAACUGUUCUAUUAAUAGAUUUUCAGAAAAUCUGUUUGAGUUAUUUAUACAUGUACCAGGUAUACAAAUUCAUGUACUUUUAUUUGAUUUGAACAUUACUGUUUACUAUUAUCCUGAACAAAUUACAGGUUUUCUUUGCUUUAUAUUAGAGAAUUUUGGUAAAUUUCAUUGAUGAAAGGACCAAGGUACUUUUCUCCAAUAGUCAAUUAAUAGAAAUUUUCAAAUAUAAUAUCUUGUGCAGCGAAUUAAAAAGAAAUUUAUUUAUUUCAGUACUAGUCAGUUCUGAAAUUGAAAGAUACUUUGAAUAUUUAAUAUAGGAAGAAUUAUUUAAGGUAGCUCAACACAACUUCUGGACAUAAUUUAAAGUGAUUUAUUAUCAUAUAUGAUAUAAGAUAAUUUUCAUUGAGAGUCCUACAUACCAGAACAUUUUUGAGUGACAAUUAGAAAUAUUUUAGAUUACUUGGGGUGGUUAACUACCUGUUAGAAAUAUUUAAGGUGAUUAACCAUCUGUUAGAAAAUGAUAAUACGGUACGGUACUGGGACUUGUUUUUGUAGGCAAUUAUCACAACAUGAAAUUUUAUAGGUGCUGAAUUGAAGGUCAUUUCCUCAUGGUUAUUGUCGUGUAGUUUAUAACUCCCCCGCCACAAGUGGUGGGGGUUAUAGGAAUGGUCUCUGUCCAUCCUUCCCUACUUCCGUCCUUCCAUCUUCCGUCCUUCCGUAACAUUUUGUGUCUACUCUGUAUAUCCUUAACCCCUUGAACAUGUUGAAGGAUUUUCAUAAAACUUGGUUCAAAUGAUCACCUCAUCAAGACAAUGUGCAGAACCCAUGAGUCACCCAUGUUGGUUCAAGGUCAAGGUCACAACUCAAAGCCUUCAAUUUUGUGUCUGCUCUGUAUCUCCUAAACCCCUUCAAGUGUGCUGUUAACAGACAGCUUUUGUGAUAUAUCAGGAGCACAUAAUUCCGGACAAGCUGGUCUGAUUGUACCCAAAAUCGAGUUAUUCCAAGAGCUUGUGCUCGUAUACAUUGCCAUUAAAUCUGAUCAAAAUUGUUAUGAAAAUGUUCAAACUAAAGCGUUAAAAUUGUCAAGUAUUGCAACUUUUUAUAUAAAAGGGACAGAUAACUCUGGACUUGCAACUCUGAAAAUGCCUGAAAUCUAGGUCUUGCAAGACCCUAAGGCCGGGCCGUACACAUUGUCUAUUUUAGACAAUUUUCUAAGUUUAUUCGAGAUUUCUUUAAAUAAAAAUGGUACAGUUGUAAAAAAUUGGUAAAUAUUGCUAUUUUUUACUAUAUCAGGGGCACAUUACUCUUGAUAUACUGGUCGGAUCAUCCCCAUAAUGCAACACAUUCCAGAUUAUGUAGCCAUGCAUAUUGUUUUUAUACUUUGGUGAAGAUUGUUAUAGUAAUAUUCAUGCUGGAGUGUUAACAAUGCUAUAUAAUUCAUACUUAACUUUAAAAAAGUGGGUGGGGUAAUAUUACAUCUGUUUUUUUAUGAUGAAAUGUCGAUGUAAAUGGUUUGGAACUAUUUUGUUAUUUAAAAAUAUGUUUUGCACACAUGUUCAUAUUGUUUAGGCGUUUUUUUUUCAUGAAAAUAUUUGUUGUUUUAGCUUAUUUGCCAGCAAACCCCAAUAUUCUAAAAUUUUGGUACUUUCAUGAUAAAAUACAGAAUAUCUCUCUUAUAUGUUCGGUGACCCCCAAUUUUUUUACCCUUAUUUUGAAGCAAUUUUGAGACACAAUAUAUACAAAAAUUAUUUCAAAAAUCUUAAUUGUAGAAAUAAUGUUAUGCUAUCUUUAGACUGAUACAAGUACUGAUCCCAUUGGAAAAAAGUGGGUGGGGUAAUUAUAUUGCCUUGUGAAAAUGAGUAACAGUAUUAUGUGAAAAUCAUUAAAAUUUCAUACUGACUUCAUAGCAUAUUCAAACUGAAUUGUUAGAAAUACAAUUAUUUUACAACUGAUAAAGAUAGUAAGGUUUUGAAAUGUACCCCCAAUUUUUCCAGGUUUUUCAAAUUUCACUUUUGUCUUCACAGUGUGUGUAGAAAAUGGCCGAUAUAAUGAAAAGGAGUUCGGUGACCAACCGUUUUUUUGCUUUUAUAUGAAAUAGAUACUAAAGAUCUUCAAACAUGCAAAGUAUGAAAAAAUUCUUAAUUGUAGAACAAAUUGGCCUGAAACGUAUCCAACAUCCUUAAGCCUGAUUCUAUGCUUGUCUCUGUUAAAACACUCUUACGCUAGAAUGACGUCACGUUAACGUGCGGUGACGUCAAAGCUUUUGUUGCGACCAAGAAAGUGCGCUUCUAUAUUUUAUCUACUGUUUUAGAUUAAGGGCAUAUUAGAAUCGAAAUAAUUUAUAGCAAAACCGUGUUUUAACACUAUUUAUACACUCGGGCGGUAAUACGUCCUCGUGCAAUUAUUACGCCCGACGUAUAACCGCCCAUCGUGCAUAAAUAGUGUUAAAGCACUCUUUUGCUAUAAUUUAUUUCUUAAUUUCAUUGAUUUGUUAGUAUCUUAACAGCUCGAUCUCAAGCUGGCCGCUACACAUAUUAAACAAUUCAACAGAUAAUAUAAACAUUAAAAAUGUAUUGUUAUGAUUUGCGCCAUUCGAACGUAACAACUCCCUAAACCGAAUUACAUUUUUAGGAAAUAAUCACGCCAUAAAUCGUUCCGCAAUGCUACAUAACAUAUGCAAAGUGUAUGGCUGAUGUUUGCAGUAAUAUACCAUCGAAACUAUUUCUUGUGUCACUACAUAAGAACACUGCAUGAUGUUGCAUUAUUUCUUUGUUUCACUAGUACCAUAAGUGUUUCAUCUUUGUUUUCUUUCAAAUGUUAUUGUUGCAUUGUUUAUGUAAUAGUAUGGCACGAAAUCAUGAUAUAAUAUGACAGUAAUCCAGACGCUACCAUUAAAGCUGGAAUUUAAA